UGGGGAAUUUUGGACAAUGGGCGAAAGCCUGAUCCAGCAAUGCCGCGUGUGUGAAGAAGGCCUUCGGGUUGUAAAGCACUUUUGUCCGGAAAGAAAUCCUUGGCUCUAAUACAGUCGGGGGAUGACGGUACCGGAAGAAUAAGCACCGGCUAACUACGUGCCAGCAGCCGCGGUAAUACGUAGGGUGCAAGCGUUAAUCGGAAUUACUGGGCGUAAAGCGUGCGCAGGCGGUUUGCUAAGACCGAUGUGAAAUCCCCGGGCUCAACCUGGGAACUGCAUUGGUGACUGGCAGGCUAGAGUAUGGCAGAGGGGGGUAGAAUUCCACGUGUAGCAGUGAAAUGCGUAGAGAUGUGGAGGAAUACCGAUGGCGAAGGCAGCCCCCCUGGGCCAAUACUGACGCUCAUGCACGAAAGCGUGGGGAGCAAAACAGGAUUAGAUACCCCUGGUAGUCCACGCCCUAAAACGAUGUCAACUAGUUGUUGGGGAUUCAUUUCCUUAGUAACGUAGCUAACGCGUGAAGUUGACCGCCUGGGGGAGUACGGUCGCAAGAUUAAAACUCAAAUGAAUUGACGGGGUCAUAGCUG
Molecule: ribosomal RNA, 584 nt
Filed under: uncultured bacterium
Lineage: Bacteria
Description: partial 16S ribosomal RNA
Rfam family: Bacterial small subunit ribosomal RNA
Source: RNAcentral